Molecule: non-coding RNA, 169 nt
Organism: Lampris incognitus (smalleye Pacific opah)
Lineage: Eukaryota; Metazoa; Chordata; Actinopteri; Lampriformes; Lampridae
Product: small Cajal body-specific RNA 1
Exons: 1
Source: RefSeq, a predicted model, not a curated record
UUGCACCAGAUACGAACCCGACAGCCCCCCCACACCUGCUUAGUAAUUUUGUGCACUGGGGGUCUGGUGACUGUCUGGUUACAAAAUGGUGCUACAGCAACAUGAGCCCUGAGAUUUAAGCUUUUCAGUGGAAAGCAACACUGUUGAGUUAUGGCUCAGAGGCACAGAG